This 475-nucleotide ribosomal RNA is filed under the name unidentified nematode Sourhope farm. RNAcentral's name for it is "SSU rRNA". It matches the Rfam family "Eukaryotic small subunit ribosomal RNA", at positions 58 to 529 of the family's 1831-position model. The record is from RNAcentral. Lineage: Eukaryota; Metazoa; Nematoda.
UCUAAGUAUAACCUGCCAGACAGGGAAACUGCGUACGGCUCAUUACACCAGCCUUAAUUUACUUGACCUUGACAACCUACUUGGAUAACUGUGGUGAUUCUAGAGCUAAUACAUGCACCAAAGCUCCGAUCCUCGCGGAGAGGAGCGCAUUUGUUCGCCACAAAACCAAGCGCCCAUCUGGGCGUCCAGUGCUGAACCAGAACAACUCAGCUGAUCGCACGGUCUUGUACCGGCGACGUGUCUUUCAAGUGUCUGCCUUAUCAACUUUCGAUGGUAGUGUACCUGACUACCAUGGUUGUGACGGCUAACGGAGGAUAAGGGUUCGACUCCGGAGAAGGGGCCUGAGAAAUGGCCACUACGUCUAAGGAUGGCAGCAGGCGCGCAAAUUACCCACUCUCAACGCGAGGAGGUAGUGACGAGAAAUAACGAGACCGUUCUCAUACGAGGCCGGUUAUUGGAAUGGGUACAAUUUAAA